This 434-nucleotide ribosomal RNA is filed under the name uncultured bacterium. RNAcentral's name for it is "partial 16S ribosomal RNA". It matches the Rfam family "Bacterial small subunit ribosomal RNA", at positions 29 to 506 of the family's 1533-position model. The record is from RNAcentral.
AGCGAACGCUGGCGGCAGGCUUAACACAUGCAAGUCGAACGGGCAUCUUCGGAUGUCAGUGGCAGACGGGUGAGUACCACGUGGGAACGUACCCUUCGGUUCGGAAUAACUCAGGGAAACUUGAGCUAAUACCGGAUACGCCCUUUUGGGGAAAGGUUUACUGCCGCAGGAUCGGCCCGCGUCUGAUUAUCUUGUUGGUGGGGUAACGGCCUACCAAGGCGACGAUCAGUAGCUGGUAUGUGAGGAUGAUCAGCAACACUGGGACUGAGACCCGGCCCAGACCCCCAGGGAAGGGAGAAGGGGGGAAGAUUGGACAACGGGCGCAAGACUGAGCCAGCCAGGCCGCGAGAGUGAUGAAGGCCGUAGGGAUGUAAAGCUCUUUUGUCAGGGACGAUAAGAACGGUACCGGAAGAAUAAGCACCGGCAAACUUCGU